Molecule: long non-coding RNA, 304 nt
Organism: Photinus pyralis (common eastern firefly)
Lineage: Eukaryota; Metazoa; Arthropoda; Insecta; Coleoptera; Lampyridae
Exons: 3
Source: RefSeq, a predicted model, not a curated record
AUUAAUAGCGCGUAAGGUGACUUAGGCCGUCGCAUUUUAUGAAUAAAGGAAACCAGUUUAAGUGAUAACGUGUAAAUUGGAAUGCAUUUGUUACCAGUUGGGUCGUUACCGCGUUGUGGAUUGCGUCGAUAGGGUAGCCUUUGACUAACUGUAGGGAAUGUAUUGUGUUUUGUGCCAUGGAUGUGUGCAAUUAUUAAUGAGAGAAAAAGGUGGGACCGACGCACAGAUUUUGGGGGUGUCCGACUUUUCCGAUAGAUAAGUGCCGUACAGACCUUCCACUUUCGCAAGUAGUGAACGGCAACGG